Long non-coding RNA from Daphnia carinata, 2000 nucleotides. RefSeq lists it as uncharacterized. Lineage: Eukaryota; Metazoa; Arthropoda; Branchiopoda; Diplostraca; Daphniidae. The transcript is spliced from 3 exons. The record is from RefSeq and is a predicted model, not a curated record.
GUGGCUGUUAUAAUGUGCCCUUUGAACAAAAUAAAAAGCAUGUUUUUUAUGUUUUUGCCAACUCCACUGCUCUCAUUAGUUUAGUGUGAAAUUCUACUGUAACUGUAUCAAUUCAGAGUGCAACAUUAUUAAAAUCCAUCUGUACCUACCAUAAAUGAAGUUGCUUCUUUUCAUGAGCCAGUAAUUUUUUCACGCAUUUUGGCCUAAAGUUGCUAUUGAUGUACGAUUUAAGUCUAGUCUGAAAUCAUAGUGUGUUUGCAUUACAGAGUGAAUGCAAAGCUUGGCAAAACUAUGGUAAAACAUUCUGGAUCAAAUCUUAAAUAGAUGUCAUGUAUUGUAAUGACUGGUUAAAGCUUCCAACCCGCAAAGGAAUGCAUCUUUAAUCAACUGAUGACUAUGCUUAAAGGAUGAUUUUAAUUUGAUCCUCUUCGUUCUGCUCUGUAAUGUAUCUGUUGUUAAUUAAUGAUUGAAGCUAAAUAUAUAUAAUAAAUAUGCUUUGCUUUGCUUGGUGGAUCUUCCCAUUUAGGUUAUCAGAGGGCUUGGUGUUAAAAAUCAACAAGGCGAGACUUAUCCUUCACCCAGUCUUUCCACUCGUACAACACUGUUUAUGUAAUGAGCUAAUGGCCAAAAGUAAGUAGAGAUUCUGUGCUAUGAGAUUUGUUAAAAGAGGGCAAUGCAUUAGUAUUGAUUUUUAUAAAUUGGGAAUACCCCAUGACAAUUCUAGAAAACGUAGACAUCGUUAAAAAAUAUAUUUGGUUCGAUUCUGGCGCUAGAUGGCCGAGGAGAGAAAACACGUUAAAAAAAUUAGGUAACGCAGGUUGCCAUAUCUUUCUUUUGUGAGGCACAAAAAUACAAGUGACAACGUCGCCGUGUAUCGAGCUUUGAAGAGAAGUUACUUUGGGUCGUGCACCGUGUGAAAAUUUCUUUUCCAUGCUGGCUGCAGUCGUUAGGAACAAAAGAAUGUUGUUAAUUUAUGCUUGAAGAUGGAUUUUGUCGGCAAAGGGUUGUCGAUUUACGCGGACAAAGACGGAUGUGCUGUUAAUCCUGAAGGUUUAUAAGUGGUAAGAUUGAAUAAUCAGUUCAGAUAAAGUUCAUAAGCAAUGAAAUAAUGUCAUGUAUUGAAACAUAUCCUUUCUAUUUAUCCCAUUUGAGCAUUCCAAUAAUUUUUUGGAAGGCACAACAACAAUGUGUAAGCAUAGUGGUGUUUCAGUAGGCUGAUCGUGUAGGCUCGGUCUCCUAACCAUUAUGUGGCAUUUGAUGGUGGUUAACAUGUGGUGGUGUGGUUGGUAGUGAGUGAAAUAUUUGGCAUAAUUGACAUAUUUUUGUUUUUUCUUGGGUUAAUCCUAAAAUUAUGUGAGCAUCUUCUACAUGACUAGCGGUCAUUGUUCUUUUAGGGUGAUCAUCAAAUGGGAAUUGUUCAGUAAGGAGUUUCCUGGUAAUAAUGAUACAACAUGAAAUUCUGUAAUGCAUCUUUUGUUAAUUAAUGAUUGAAGCUAUUUAGCUGCUAUUUGGUAGGUUUAAAUAGGCUGUCCAAGUGUUGCAUUCUGAGUGUUGGAAAUAGUGGUGUAUAGGCCAAGUAUUCUUCGGAAUCUCUAUGGAUGUGGAUGAUCCCUGAAAGGAGGUAUAUAUACGAUAUAGGUAAUCCCUAAAAGAACGGUUACUUCAUUUAUAGUUAGUGAACAUGAUGUACUGUGAGACAUGGAAAACCAGAAAGUACGAGUUACUAUUUUAUUCAAUUAAAUUCUUAAUGAUAUCUUUUGUAAAUAAUUUAGCAGACGUCCAAGUGUCAGGAAGAUGUCACGUUCAGCCAACUUCAAGUGUCAGGUGUGGGUAUUGCAAUGUGCCUUGUAUCUUUGAAAGAAACAAAGGAAUAUGUUUAGGACAAGUCCGCUGAUCUCAUUAGUUUAAUUUGUGAAAUAUUGGUGCAAGUGGAUCAAUUUAAAGUGCAACAUUGUUAAAAAUUAAUCUGUGUCUACCAUAAAUGAAGUUGCUUCUCUUUA